GAUGAAGAACGCAGCGAAAUGCGAUAAGUAAUGUGAAUUGCAGAAUUCAGUGAAUCAUCGAAUCUUUGAACGCACAUUGCGCCCGCUGGUAUUCCGGCGGGCAUGCCUGUUCGAGCGUCAUUUCAACCCUCAAGCUCUCCGGAGUUUGGUGUUGGGGCGCCUGGGGCUUUUCGACCUCAGGGCCCUCAAGUCCAUCGGCGGGACCGCCAGGACACUGAGCGCAGUAGUAUUAUUUCGCUCGGUAGGAUCUUCCACGGCGGGUCGAUCUGGCCGCUAAACCCCCCAAUUCUCACCAAAGGUUGACCUCGGAUCUGGUAGGAAUACCCGCUGAACUUAAGCAUAUCAAUAAGCGGAGGA
Molecule: unclassified non-coding RNA, 357 nt
Filed under: soil metagenome
Description: partial contains 5.8S ribosomal RNA, internal transcribed spacer 2, and large subunit ribosomal RNA
Rfam family: 5.8S ribosomal RNA (bases 1-120)
Source: RNAcentral